RNAcentral lists this ribosomal RNA (732 nucleotides) under Vibrio sp. RNAcentral's name for it is "bacterial SSU rRNA". It matches the Rfam family "Bacterial small subunit ribosomal RNA", at positions 56 to 768 of the family's 1533-position model. Lineage: Bacteria; Pseudomonadati; Pseudomonadota; Gammaproteobacteria; Vibrionales; Vibrionaceae. The record is from RNAcentral.
UGCAAGUCGAGCGGAACGACUUAUCUGAACCUUCGGGGAACGUUAACGGCGUCGAGCGGCGGACGGGUGAGUAAUGCCUAGGAAAUUGCCUUGAUGUGGGGGAUAACCAUUGGAAACGAUGGCUAAUACCGCAUAAUGCCUACGGGCCAAAGAGGGGGACCUUCGGGCCUCUCGCGUCAAGAUAUGCCUAGGUGGGAUUAGCUAGUUGGUGAGGUAAUGGCUCACCAAGGCGACGAUCCCUAGCUGGUCUGAGAGGAUGAUCAGCCACACUGGAACUGAGACACGGUCCAGACUCCUACGGGAGGCAGCAGUGGGGAAUAUUGCACAAUGGGCGAAAGCCUGAUGCAGCCAUGCCGCGUGUAUGAAGAAGGCCUUCGGGUUGUAAAGUACUUUCAGUUGUGAGGAAGGGGGUGUCGUUAAUAGCGGCAUCUCUUGACGUUAGCAACAGAAGAAGCACCGGCUAACUCCGUGCCAGCAGCCGCGGUAAUACGGAGGGUGCGAGCGUUAAUCGGAAUUACUGGGCGUAAAGCGCAUGCAGGUGGUUCAUUAAGUCAGAUGUGAAAGCCCGGGGCUCAACCUCGGAACUGCAUUUGAAACUGGUGAACUAGAGUACUGUAGAGGGGGGUAGAAUUUCAGGUGUAGCGGUGAAAUGCGUAGAGAUCUGAAGGAAUACCAGUGGCGAAGGCGGCCCCCUGGACAGAUACUGACACUCAGAUGCGAAAGCGUGGGGAG